ACCGUUCAGGGGUAAACCUGAGAAACCCAAAAGAUCGAAUGGGGAGAUUCAUCGUCAGCUCAUUUUGUAUAUAUAUAAGUUAUGAUAUGGGUUACUACUUGUAGUAUUGCCUGUACAUUCUUGUAUAUUUUAUUGCAUUAUGUUGUCGGCGUGCACUUCUCCCCUAGUAGGACGUCGCGACCCGUUGGGUGUCGGUCUACGGCCCAAGUGGUAGCCUUUAAUUUUUAUUAAUUGAAGACCCUUGGUGUUUCCUGGCUGGCUACUCGGCGGUAUUCGUACGGUAUUAAGCCGCAUUUUUUAUGCGUUCAUAUCCGUCGCAAGCGCGGUCAAUUUUUGGUAGUACGGACCUAGUGCCGUCGCUAUAAUUGACCAGCUGUUGGUUGUACGGGAUUCUAGAACUGGCUUUAAAUUAAAUACCGGUCAGCGAUGCUACUGCUUUGGGUACUUUCAGGA
RNAcentral lists this ribosomal RNA (453 nucleotides) under Colastes braconius. RNAcentral describes it as "eukaryotic LSU rRNA". The record is from RNAcentral. Lineage: Eukaryota; Metazoa; Arthropoda; Insecta; Hymenoptera; Braconidae.